CAUGUCCUGAUCUAAGGCCUCAAGACCUCAGACACUCAAAGUAUAUUUUUCUUUGGUAGCUAGAAGGCUCUGCAUAAAGGAGAGCUGGUAUUAUAUUAAAAAUUAUGAUUAUAUUUGCAUUUAAUUCUACCCAGAGUUCAUAACAAGUAUGCAGAUAAUUGGUACUAAGCAAAUAUUUCUUUUAUUGAUGGAUCUAAAUAAUGAGCUAUGCUACUUUAGAACUGCAUGAGAUAUUAAAUGUUCAGGUGGCCCAGUUUCUCCAUCUGACAGAUUGAAAAACUGAAUCUGGAGGAAUAAUUGACUGAUCAAGACUGCACCACUGUGGACCCUGGCAAGACAGUACCUUCUGUGUGUCCCUACUGGUGCAGACCCAGCCCAAGAGAGCUGAUGGCUAAAUUUCCGGGAACGCUGACAGCCAGUUAUGCAACACAGCCACUGUUAAAAGCUCGCACUUCUGGCAUGAGACCCGGCAUCUAAUCUCUCUAGUGAAUUAGCCGUCACUCUCUCUGCUGCCAUAUCCUUGGACUUGCAGGAACCAGAGGGAGAGUUAUGUGGCUGACAGAGAAUGAGAAGAAUGAGGAAAAGGAGAAAAUAAUAUAACCUGACACUACAGUAACGAGCUUUACCUUGAAAUCUCACUCUACCCAGAGGAAAAUUGGAGUCAGGGUAGGGAGGGGAUGGAAAUAAAAGUAGACAUGACACGUU
Molecule: long non-coding RNA, 705 nt
Organism: Chinchilla lanigera (long-tailed chinchilla)
Lineage: Eukaryota; Metazoa; Chordata; Mammalia; Rodentia; Chinchillidae
Exons: 3
Source: RefSeq, a predicted model, not a curated record